GAGCGCAUACCUUCCUUUAUGAGCGGCGGACGGGUGAGUAACGCGUAGGUCAUCUACCCUUUGGUGGGGGAUAACCCAGGGAAACUUGGGCUAAUACCGCACGAGGUCCACGGAUCAAAGCCUUCGGGCGCCAGAGGAUGAGCCUGCGUCGCAUUACCUAGUUGGCGGGGUAACGGCCCACCAAGGGGACGAUGCGUAGCUGGUCUGAGAGGAUGAUCAGCCACACUGGGACUGAGACACGGCCCAGACUCCUACGGGAGGCAGCAGUGGGGAAUAUUGCGCAAUGGGGGAAACCCUGACGCACCCACGCCGCGUGGGUGAUGAAGGCCUUCGGGUUGUAAAGCCCUGUCGGGAGGGACG
Molecule: ribosomal RNA, 360 nt
Filed under: uncultured bacterium
Lineage: Bacteria
Description: bacterial SSU rRNA
Rfam family: Bacterial small subunit ribosomal RNA
Source: RNAcentral